Molecule: ribosomal RNA, 450 nt
Filed under: uncultured bacterium
Lineage: Bacteria
Description: partial 16S ribosomal RNA
Rfam family: Bacterial small subunit ribosomal RNA
Source: RNAcentral
GUAGGGAAUCUUCCACAAUGGACGCAAGUCUGAUGGAGCAACGCCGCGUGAGUGAAGAAGGUUUUCGGAUCGUAAAGCUCUGUUGUUGGUGAAGAAGGAUAGAGGCAGUAACUGGUCUUUAUUUGACGGUAAUCAACCAGAAAGUCACGGCUAACUACGUGCCAGCAGCCGCGGUAAUACGUAGGUGGCAAGCGUUGUCCGGAUUUAUUGGGCGUAAAGCGAGCGCAGGCGGAAUGAUAAGUCUGAUGUGAAAGCCCACGGCUCAACCGUGGAACUGCAUCGGAAACUGUCAUUCUUGAGUGCAGAAGAGGAGAGUGGAACUCCAUGUGUAGCGGUGGAAUGCGUAGAUAUAUGGAAGAACACCAGUGGCGAAGGCGGCUCUCUGGUCUGCAACUGACGCUGAGGCUCGAAAGCAUGGGUAGCGAACAGGAUUAGAAACCCUAGUAGUCC